UACGAAGGUGGCAAGCGUUGUUCGGAUUCACUGGGCGUACAGGGAGCGUAGGCGGUUGGGUAAGCCCUCCGUGAAAUCUCCGGGCCUAACCCGGAAAGUGCAGAGGGGACUGCUCGGCUAGAGGAUGGGAGAGGAGCGCGGAAUUCCCGGUGUAGCGGUGAAAUGCGUAGAGAUCGGGAGGAAGGCCGGUGGCGAAGGCGGCGCUCUGGAACAUUUCUGACGCUGAGGCUCGAAAGCGUGGGGAGCAAACAGG
Molecule: ribosomal RNA, 253 nt
Filed under: uncultured bacterium
Lineage: Bacteria
Also listed under: 1 other name
Description: partial 16S ribosomal RNA
Rfam family: Bacterial small subunit ribosomal RNA
Source: RNAcentral